AGUCGAGCGGUAGAGAGAAGCUUGCUUCUCUUGAGAGCGGCGGACGGGUGAGUAAUGCCUAGGAAUCUGCCUGGUAGUGGGGGAUAACGUUCGGAAACGGACGCUAAUACCGCAUACGUCCUACGGGAGAAAGCAGGGGACCUUCGGGCCUUGCGCUAUCAGAUGAGCCUAGGUCGGAUUAGCUAGUUGGUGAGGUAAUGGCUCACCAAGGCGACGAUCCGUAACUGGUCUGAGAGGAUGAUCAGUCACACUGGAACUGAGACACGGUCCAGACUCCUACGGGAGGCAGCAGUGGGGAAUAUUGGACAAUGGGCGAAAGCCUGAUCCAGCCAUGCCGCGUGUGUGAAGAAGGUCUUCGGAUUGUAAAGCACUUUAAGUUGGGAGGAAGAGCAGUUACCUAAUACGUGAUUGUUUUGACGUUACCGACAGAAUAAGCACCGGCUAACUCUGUGCCAGCAGCCGCGGUAAU
This 469-nucleotide ribosomal RNA is filed under the name uncultured bacterium. Its description in RNAcentral is "bacterial SSU rRNA". It matches the Rfam family "Bacterial small subunit ribosomal RNA", at positions 60 to 524 of the family's 1533-position model. The record is from RNAcentral.